AUGCUGCGGGUUUUAUUCCCUUCUGGCACCUUUUAUUAUGAGAAUUUUGCUGGUAGGCCUGUUCCCUUGAAAAAUAACGAUGAAAAGAAUCAGGGCUGUAAGGGCAGCAGAAAGGCUGGUACAACUCUUGAGUAUGGCAGGACCCUAAAUCUCUUUGCUCCGCAACGCCCGUCCUGGUUUUGCACCUGCCGCUCCUGCGCCUGGUGGCGAGAGCCGUCCGUCCCGCUGCUUCAUCUGUCCGUCCGUCUGUCUCGCUUCGCCCAGGUUGCCGCAGGGCGCGCGGACAAAACGAACCCUGAGAGCCUUAAAGGCUGGUGGGUUUUUGGUUUUAUUCGCCCCAGGCCUGUGGUUCGUGCACAUCCUGCUCUCGGCAGCCUUUGCGGGAGCCUGGCACCUGGCAGGGCAGCGAGCCCGGCCGCGGCAGAGCGGGGUGGGUUAAUCGUGCAGCGGCCGCGGAGAUGGGCGGAAAUAACACCUCGAAUAUGUCUUCUUUUUUUCCCCCUCUUUCAGGGGUUUAGGGUUUAUGCAGCGAUGGCUCGGGCGCUUUUUUACGCGGAGGUGCGUUGUAUGCCUGCGUACGGCUUCAAAGCCCUGGAGGAAGGGAUCCGCUCGGCCAGGAGGAGGGAUGCGGCUGGCAGCGUGCGAUGCCGCCCGGCCCAGGCAGCAGCGCUCCUGCACCAAUGCAAAGCGGCGCGCGGCGGCGGGGUCGGCGCUCAGCAGCCCGGGCGGCGGGAGCCGUCGGAGCGCAUCGCUCCAGCGCUGCUCCUGCCCUCUGCAGCCCGGGAACCCCGCGGGACGAGCGGUGCGGGAGUGCGCCCCGUCGCCCGGCAUACUGCCCCCGCUUGGGAGCAACGUCCCGUUUCCCGGGCUCGGGCGGGCGGCGAAACCCCCCGCGCCCUCCUCCCUCCCGCACCCGCGCCGGCUUUGGGGGACCCGCGCGCCCGCUUCUCCCCCGCCCUCAGCCCUCGGUUCCCGCCGUGCGCUUCUGUUCGAGUUCGUAUUUUUUCCCCUGCGACAUCUCCGAAGAAUCGCAAGAUGUGCAGCGUGUGUCCCGACGUUGUAUUUUAA
RNAcentral lists this long non-coding RNA (1068 nucleotides) under Apteryx haastii (Great spotted kiwi). Its description in RNAcentral is "lncRNA (ENSAHAG00000010438.1)". Lineage: Eukaryota; Metazoa; Chordata; Aves; Apterygiformes; Apterygidae. The record is from RNAcentral.